RNAcentral lists this ribosomal RNA (468 nucleotides) under uncultured bacterium. RNAcentral's name for it is "partial 16S ribosomal RNA". It matches the Rfam family "Bacterial small subunit ribosomal RNA", at positions 28 to 507 of the family's 1533-position model. The record is from RNAcentral.
GACGAACGCUGGCGGCGUGCUUAACACAUGCAAGUCGAACGGAAAGGCCCUGCUUUUGUGGGGUGCUCGAGUGGCGAACGGGUGAGUAACACGUGAGUAACCUGCCCUUGACUUUGGGAUAACUUCAGGAAACUGGGGCUAAUACCGGAUAGGAGCUCCUGCUGCAUGGUGGGGGUUGGAAAGUUUCGGCGGUUGGGGAUGGACUCGCGGCUUAUCAGCGUGUUGGUGGGGUAGUGGCUUACCAAGGCUUUGACGGGUAGCCGGCCUGAGAGGGUGACCGGCCUCAUUGGGACUGAGAUGCGGCCCAGACUCCUACGGGAGGCAGCAGUGGGGACUUUUGCACACUGGGCGGAAGCCUGAUGCAGCAACGCCGCGUGCGGGAUGACGGCCUUCGGGUUGUAGACCGCUUUCGCCUGUGACGAAGCGUGAGUGACGGUAAUGGGUAAAGAAGCACCGGCUAACUACGUU